Long non-coding RNA from Hordeum vulgare subsp. vulgare (domesticated barley), 602 nucleotides. RefSeq lists it as uncharacterized. The record is from RefSeq and is a predicted model, not a curated record. The transcript has 2 exons. NCBI's taxonomy places the organism in Eukaryota, Viridiplantae, Streptophyta, Magnoliopsida, Poales, Poaceae.
UGCAUGCCAUGGUGUAGCAUGGCGUAGCAGGGGGGCUCUCCUAGCAGCAGAAAACACACAUACAAAAAGGGAAAUUCGGCCAAAUCCAGGAUAACGCAAAACUGAUUCUGGUGUGCAACACUUUGUUGUAGAUCAGGAAAUACUCUGGAAUAAUAUCGGCAAUAAUUUUCCAUAUGCUGGGCAAAAAUCUCCAAGUAAGAACACCAAGGUGGCUGGAAUUGAUCUCAAUGAGCUUCCUGACGAAGCCACUGAUUGUGGUAGUAUCCCACUAUACUGCACAAAAGCACCACGUGAUGGGUUGGGCGAGUCACUAGAUUUCCUUGAGGGGGUGGGUGAGCCAUUGGAUUUCCUUUCUGCUCCUAUAAAAGAUGUCCCAGGUGUGAAGUUUCAUCUUGCGGCCAUUGCUGCUACUGGUGCAUACUAAGGAUAAGCGACUUUGUGGGAUCAAUUAGGCGAUGAAGUGUAUAGGGCUAGGUGACUCGAUUGUUUUGAUCUCAAUAAGCUUCGUGAUGACUGUUCAGUAUAGCACAAUCAUCGAUUGUUUCCAUCAUACCUCCCCUAAAUGUGCAGAUGGAUGGUUUUGAUAUCAAUAAGCUUCCUGA